GUGCAAAAUGACAGCCGAAUCUCAAGUCAUCGAUCGACCUUCCUCAAGACCGCGAUUCUAACCUAACUUUGUUUGUUAUUGUUUGAAUUUUGAAUAUUUUUAAUUCAGUUCCAACAUAUAUUUUUUGUUUUUCUAAUUACAAUAAAAAUGUAUGAAGAAGUAAAAGCAUUUUUAGAGUUUAUUGAUAAUAUUGGAGAAGAAAAUCGCCCGGGAAGUAUACAAAAGCGAUAUAUUCAAGAUAAAAAUAUAAUCUAAAAUACAAUGGAGUAUUACAAUAUUGAAGUUCAUCAGCGAAUCAGCGCAUUAACUUAAACAACAAAGGUUUUAUGCUACUUAUAGGAAUAUAACCAGUUUUUAUGAGGAAGCCCACUUUCCAAAAAUGUGCAGGUACUAGAAGAGAAAUUACUGUUCAACUGAGAAUUAUGUAUAUUACUGUUCAACAACAAGUUUAUCAAGUCAUUCAAUAUUUGAUCUAAGAGCAUUAAGAGUGAAAUUGUGAAAUGGAAAGAAGUGAAAUUCCAGGAUUAUUAAUAGGAAUAGAUGACAGUAGUGGGUAUGCAUGCAGACACUAUCUACUUACCCCAGUAUUACAGCCAGGUAAUGAUCAAGAAAAUAAGAUAUUUUUACCAUAGUACUCAUGUGAGAACAAGAAAUGUAGAAAAGCUAUUUGGAACCUGGAAAAGAGAGUUUCCUUUCUUCAACAAGGUCUACAAAUCAAAUUAUAUACAUGUCUUGCAAUAAUAUGUGCUACAGCAGUACCUUACAAUCUAGGUAAAUAAUGAUCUGGUG
This 789-nucleotide long non-coding RNA is filed under the name Diabrotica virgifera virgifera (western corn rootworm). Its description in RNAcentral is "uncharacterized LOC126889844". The record is from RNAcentral. Lineage: Eukaryota; Metazoa; Arthropoda; Insecta; Coleoptera; Chrysomelidae.